RNAcentral lists this ribosomal RNA (353 nucleotides) under Shigella dysenteriae. RNAcentral's name for it is "bacterial SSU rRNA". It matches the Rfam family "Bacterial small subunit ribosomal RNA", at positions 801 to 1154 of the family's 1533-position model. The record is from RNAcentral. Lineage: Bacteria; Pseudomonadati; Pseudomonadota; Gammaproteobacteria; Enterobacterales; Enterobacteriaceae.
CGUAAACGAUGUCGACUUGGAGGUUGUGCCCUUGAGGCGUGGCUUCCGGAGCUAACGCGUUAAGUCGACCGCCUGGGGAGUACGGCCGCAAGGUUAAAACUCAAAUGAAUUGACGGGGGCCCGCACAAGCGGUGGAGCAUGUGGUUUAAUUCGAUGCAACGCGAAGAACCUUACCUAGUCUUGACAUCCACAGAACCUUGUAGAGAUACGAGGGUGCCUUCGGGAACUGUGAGACAGGUGCUGCAUGGCUGUCGUCAGCUCGUGUUGUGAAAUGUUGGGUUAAGUCCCGCAACGAGCGCAACCCUUAUCCUUUGUUGCCAGCGGUCCGGCCGGGAACUCAAAGGAGACUGCCA